Molecule: long non-coding RNA, 474 nt
Filed under: Gallus gallus (chicken)
Lineage: Eukaryota; Metazoa; Chordata; Aves; Galliformes; Phasianidae
Description: lncRNA (ENSGALG00010011731.1)
Source: RNAcentral
UUUUUUUUUUCUCCUUUUCUCCUUUCAUCCCCAUUUCCCCCAUUUUUCAUAUAUAUAUAUUUUUCCCCCUUCUUUUAAUAAUGCCUCGUUAUUCCCCCCCUCCUAAAACCAAGGGCAGCUCCUGGGGUCAGCGCUCCCCCUCCAGAUGGAAGGAGCUGGAGCCCAUCCACUGCCCUCGCCCACAGCUGGCCCAGUGUUCCCAGCAGGAGCCCAGCACUGGCCAAAGCCAACCCUUACUGGAGGUUCCUCUUUCUCACCCCAUGGCCUGGGGCCCCCAGAUCUCUUUGCAGCUCCGUGAGCAGACUCUUGCCUCUGGGAUGGGAGCAGAGAUGAUGGCUCGGGGUCCCUGGGACAGCUCCUUGCACCCCCCCAGGGGUGCUGCAGGUAUUUGGGGACAGACCUACCGGGUGCGCUGUGGAUGCCGCAAGGAUCCCAUCGGGUUGCGCCGUGCCAAUAAAGCUCUUCUUGCUGCGG